Molecule: transfer RNA, 65 nt
Filed under: Dipodomys ordii (Ord's kangaroo rat)
Lineage: Eukaryota; Metazoa; Chordata; Mammalia; Rodentia; Heteromyidae
Rfam family: tRNA
About the family: Transfer RNA (tRNA) molecules are approximately 80 nucleotides in length. Their secondary structure includes four short double-helical elements and three loops (D, anti-codon, and T loops).
Source: Rfam by way of RNAcentral
AGUGGCUCAGUAGUAGAGUGCUUGCCUUGCAUGCAUGAGGCCCUAGGUUCGAUUCCUCAGCACUA